UUUAGGGUCUUUUAGGGUCUUUUUAGGGGUCUUUUAGGGUCUUUUUGGUGUCUUUUGGGGUUUUUCAUCUCUUUUUGGGUCUUUUUGGGGUCUUUUGGUGUCUUUUAGGGUCUUUUUGGUGUAUUUUAGGGUCUUUUUGGGUCUUUUUGGGGUCUUUUUGGGUCUUUUUGGUGUAUUUUUGGGUCUUUUAGGGUCUUUUUGGGGUCUUUUUGGUCUCUUUUGGGGUCUUUUGGUGUAUUUUCGGGUCUUUUUGGUGUAUUUUUGGGUCAUUGUGGGUCAUUUUGUGUCUCUUUGUGUCCGUACUGACGCUGUCCCCGCAGACACCUGGACUUUGACCUGGACAAAACCCUUUUCUUCUUCAUCGCGGGUCGUUACGAAUUCUCCAACAAAGGGGCCGACAUCUUCCUGGAGGCGCUGGCGCGGCUCAACUACCUGCUCAGGGUAAUAGGGUUGUAGGGUUAUGGGGUUGUAGGGUUAUGGGGGGUUAUGGGGUAUAUGGGGCUGGAGGGGCUUAUGGGGUUGUAGGGUUAUGGGGUAUGUGGGGGCGUUAUGGGGUCCUUCGGGGGUAAAUAGGGUCGUGGGGUUAUGGGGUUGUAGGGUUAUGGGGGGUUAUGGGGUUGUAGGGUUAUAGGGCUUAUGGGGUCCUUGGGGGGGGAAAUAGGGUUGUAGGGUUAUGGGGUUGUAGGGUUAUGGGGUGGGAUAUGGGGGAUAUGGGG
RNAcentral lists this long non-coding RNA (716 nucleotides) under Coturnix japonica (Japanese quail). RNAcentral describes it as "lncRNA (ENSCJPG00005001675.1)". Lineage: Eukaryota; Metazoa; Chordata; Aves; Galliformes; Phasianidae. The record is from RNAcentral.